UUUUAUGGAGAGUUUGAUCCUGGCUCAGGAUGAACGCUGGCGGCGUGCCUAAUACAUGCAAGUCGAGCGAACAGAUAAGGAGCUUGCUCCUUUGACGUUAGCGGCGGACGGGUGAGUAACACGUGGGUAACCUACCUAUAAGACUGGGAUAACUUCGGGAAACCGGAGCUAAUACCGGAUAAUAUUUCGAACCGCAUGGUUCGAUAGUGAAAGAUGGUUUUGCUAUCACUUAUAGAUGGACCCGCGCCGUAUUAGCUAGUUGGUAAGGUAACGGCUUACCAAGGCGACGAUACGUAGCCGACCUGAGAGGGUGAUCGGCCACACUGGAACUGAGACACGGUCCAGACUCCUACGGGAGGCAGCAGUAGGGAAUCUUCCGCAAUGGGCGAAAGCCUGACGGAGCAACGCCGCGUGAGUGAUGAAGGUCUUCGGAUCGUAAAACUCUGUUAUUAGGGAAGAACAUACGUGUAAGUAACUGUGCACGUCUUGACGGUACCUAAUCAGAAA
RNAcentral lists this ribosomal RNA (507 nucleotides) under Staphylococcus sp. HMSC62B09. Its description in RNAcentral is "bacterial SSU rRNA". It matches the Rfam family "Bacterial small subunit ribosomal RNA", at positions 1 to 489 of the family's 1533-position model. The record is from RNAcentral. Lineage: Bacteria; Bacillati; Bacillota; Bacilli; Caryophanales; Staphylococcaceae.